GACGUAGGGCGCGAGCGUUGUCCGGAUUUAUUGGGCGUAAAGAGCUCGUAGGCGGCUUGUCGCGCCGAAUGUGAAAACUCGGGGCUCAACUCCGAGCUUGCAUUCGAUACGGGCAGGCUAGAGUUCGGUAGGGGAGACUGGAAUUCCUGGUGUAGCGGUGAAAUGCGCAGAUAUCAGGAGGAACACCGAUGGCGAAGGCAGGUCUCUGGGCCGAUACUGACGCUGAGGAGCGAAAGCGUGGGGAGCGAACAGG
RNAcentral lists this ribosomal RNA (253 nucleotides) under uncultured bacterium. Its description in RNAcentral is "partial 16S ribosomal RNA". It matches the Rfam family "Bacterial small subunit ribosomal RNA", at positions 524 to 776 of the family's 1533-position model. The record is from RNAcentral.